GACGAACCGUCCAAACGUUAUUCGGAAUUACUGGGCUUAAAGGGUGCGUAGGCGGUGCUACAAGUCGGGUGUGAAAUCCCUCAGCUUAACUGAGGAACUGCGCCCGAAACUGUAGUGCUGGAGUGAGGCAGGGGUGAGCGGAACUGAUGGUGGAGCGGUGAAAUGUGUUGAUAUCAUCAGGAACACCGGUGGCGAAGGCGGCUCACUGGGCCUUUACUGACGCUGAGGCACGAAAGCUAGGGGAGCAAACGGG
Molecule: ribosomal RNA, 253 nt
Filed under: uncultured bacterium
Lineage: Bacteria
Also listed under: 2 other names
Description: partial 16S ribosomal RNA
Rfam family: Bacterial small subunit ribosomal RNA
Source: RNAcentral